GAUUUUAUAGCUUAUUUAAAGUAUCACCUUGAAGAGGUGAAGAAACUAUGUUGAAAUCA
Molecule: transfer RNA, 59 nt
Filed under: Helix pomatia (Roman snail)
Lineage: Eukaryota; Metazoa; Mollusca; Gastropoda; Stylommatophora; Helicidae
Description: tRNA-Phe
Source: RNAcentral